This 440-nucleotide ribosomal RNA is filed under the name uncultured bacterium. Its description in RNAcentral is "partial 16S ribosomal RNA". It matches the Rfam family "Bacterial small subunit ribosomal RNA", at positions 338 to 795 of the family's 1533-position model. The record is from RNAcentral.
CCUACGGGGGGCUGCAGUGGGGAAUAUUGCACAAUGGGGGAAACCCUGAUGCAGCGACGCCGCGUGAGUGAAGAAGUAAUUCGUUAUGUAAAGCUCUAUCAGCAGGGAAGAAAAUGACGGUACCUGAGUAAGAAGCCCCGGCUAACUACGUGCCAGCAGCCGCGGUAAUACGUAGGGGGCAAGCGUUAUCCGGAUUUACUGGGUGUAAAGGGAGCGUAGACGGCAAGGCAAGUCUGGAGUGAAAGCCCGUGGCUCAACCACGGGACUGCUUUGGAAACUGUGUUGCUGGAGUGCAGGAGGGGUAAGCGGAAUUCCUAGUGUAGCGGUGAAAUGCGUAGAUAUUAGGAGGAACACCGGUGGCGAAGGCGGCUUACUGGACUGUAACUGACGUUGAGGCUCGAAGGCGUGGGGAGCGAACAGGAUUAGAUACCCGAGUAGUC